Molecule: long non-coding RNA, 1059 nt
Organism: Dicentrarchus labrax (European seabass)
Lineage: Eukaryota; Metazoa; Chordata; Actinopteri; Moronidae
Exons: 3
Source: RefSeq, a predicted model, not a curated record
CGGCCUCUCUGUGUGCAUCCCUAGUAGAAACACAUUUUUACAGCACUGUAAUUCUUUAUGUUUGUGUCACAGUGAUGGAUGAUGAUGAUGAGGAGCUAGAGAGAGCGAUGAAGAGCAUAUCACCCACCAAGGAACUGGCACAGUGUUUCCCACCGUGCCGACAGUGAAGAGACCUGUAACCAUUCCUCCUGAGCUGCAGGUUCUGGUGACAGAGGUUGCUCAUCCCAACAAACUGAGUUCUUUCAGCGUGAACUUCAGCUAACCGAGCGCAGAGUGGAAGACAGAGCGGAAAAGAAGAGGAAACUGCCGGACCCUCAGCCUCGAGGAACAAUGUGUCGUUUCUGUCACACAGAGCUGAAGCAGGGUCCAACCAGCAGACACACACACACACACACACACACACACACACACACACACACACACACAGACAGGAUUCCCGGGAGGAAAACACAUUUACUGUCCAGCUAAGGUCCUUGCGUCAUAAAGACAUGACAAAGGAAAUGACUGAAUAAAUAAAGAUAAGAACCGUCAAAUAUUCAGCCAAACCAUGUAGUGUUUUAGUUUUUAAAUGUACAUAAGGAAACCCGGGGGGUCCAGUUUGAUGCAGUUAGUGUGAGACUUCCAGCCACAGGCUCACAUGUACAUUGAGCCAAAGCUAAUUGUAUAAUAUUGUGAGGACUGGACUCAUUUACAGGCAGCAGAGCCAAAGCUAAAUGUUGUAUUCUCUUAUUUUUUCAUAUAAAUAUAAUUUGCAAUUUCUUGUAGUAAAUAUUGACUCAUAUUAAGAUUUUAUAGAACAUAUUCUAUUCAGUAAAUAUUGAAUGUACCUGAUUGUGUUCUGUAUAGAUCUACUUAUUGUCAGCGACCGACAGAUGGAGCAAACUGGGUUGUAGUGGGUGUUGAGUUGAGCUGCAGGCCGCGCCCCUCCCUGCCUGAGUGCAUCAGGUGUGGGUGUGUCUCCCAGCCUGAAGGCAGCAGACUGAGUGCACCAGGUGUGGGUGUGUCUCUGUCAGGGACUGAGCUGGCAGGCAUGAGGAGUCAAGGAUUUGUUUGGCGGCA